AUUGAACGCUGGCGGCAUGCCUAACACAUGCAAGUCGAACGGCAACAUGGUCUAGCUUGCUAGACUGAUGGCGAGUGGCGAACGGGUGAGUAAUGCGAAGGAAUAUGCCUUGAAGAGUGGGACAACUUAGGGAAACUUAAGCUAAUACCGCAUAAGCUCUGAGGAGGGAAGCUGGGGACCUUCGGGCCUGGCGCUUCAAGAAUAGCCUGCGUCCGAUUAGCUAGUUGGUAGGGUAAGAGCCUACCAAGGCGACGAUCGGUAGCUGGUCUGAGGGGAUGAUCAGCCACACUGGAACUGAGACACGGUCCAGACUCCUACGGGAGGCAGCAGUGGGGAAUAUUGGACAAUGGGGGGAACCCUGAUCCAGCAAUGCCGCGUGUGUGAAGAAGGCCUUAGGGUUGUAAAGCACUUUCAGUGGGGAGGAGGAUUGACAGGUUAAGAGCUAGUUGAUUGGACGUUACCCACAGAAGAAGCACCGGCUAACUCCGUGCCAGCCGCCGCCGUAA
This 506-nucleotide ribosomal RNA is filed under the name uncultured bacterium. RNAcentral describes it as "partial 16S ribosomal RNA". It matches the Rfam family "Bacterial small subunit ribosomal RNA", at positions 30 to 523 of the family's 1533-position model. The record is from RNAcentral.